GAGAGAGAGAGAGAGAUGGAUGAGGAACCUGAUAGAGAGAUGGACUUCUAGCAAUGGUUUUCUAUCCCUAGUUUUCCAAAUCACUAGUGUAGUUGCUCCUUAAACUUUUUCUUUGUUGUAUUUCUUCUUCUCUACCUUUAUGUGGUUAAUAAUUUAUUACUAUGGGAUAUAUGUCUCCCUCUUUAGCUCUUAACUAUAUCUGAAUACCAAAUCUGGUGGUGCACUGCCUGUUUCUCCAUUCAUCUUUCCCUGUAGAUAUUAGACAUUGUUGAAAAAUGAAAUCUUGAUCCAUCUUUAAAAUAAAUAAAAAUCUCAAAAUGAUCCAAAGUAAUUGAAUAUCAAAUUUACAAUUGUUGAUGUAACAUUCUUGAAGUGACAAAAAAAAAAAAAAUGAAAUGAAAUAAAAUGAGAUGAAUACUUAAU
RNAcentral lists this unclassified non-coding RNA (423 nucleotides) under Hevea brasiliensis (rubber tree). The record is from RNAcentral. Lineage: Eukaryota; Viridiplantae; Streptophyta; Magnoliopsida; Malpighiales; Euphorbiaceae.